GAGCCCGUAGCUCAGUCGGUUAGAGCGCCAGGUUGUGGCCCUGGAGGCCGUGGGUUCAAUCCCCAUCGGGCUCCCA
RNAcentral lists this transfer RNA (76 nucleotides) under Bacteroidota bacterium. Its description in RNAcentral is "Bacteroidetes bacterium tRNA-His". It matches the Rfam family "tRNA". From Rfam's summary of the family: Transfer RNA (tRNA) molecules are approximately 80 nucleotides in length. RNAcentral also lists the same sequence under 1 other name. Lineage: Bacteria; Pseudomonadati; Bacteroidota. The record is from RNAcentral.